Molecule: long non-coding RNA, 551 nt
Organism: Felis catus (domestic cat)
Lineage: Eukaryota; Metazoa; Chordata; Mammalia; Carnivora; Felidae
Exons: 4
Source: RefSeq, a predicted model, not a curated record
GCAAUUAGUCUAUGAUGUAUCCCAGCAGGUCAGAGAUUGGUUCAUUAGUUUCCCCUGAGGGCAGGCCUUGUUAAGAACAGGGUGGGCUCCUGUAUUUAAAAACAGUUCCUUUCCCCAACCUCCUCCCUGAAGUUGUAAGGCAAUUGUUUUCUUCUCUAUUUACUUUGGAAACCUGGUGAAGCUCCAGAGGGUAAAUCUCACACUGCGAUUUGUGACUAGAUCCUCCUGGAGUUUGGAACUGUCAAACCUGUCCAAACUCGAGCCUUCGGCAAUUCAUCAAUUACGGUUCAGGUUUUCUGACCCUGGCCCAGGUUCCUGAGGCAGUUUCCACUCCUGAGGCUCUCUGUUCUGGUUUUUUGCCCCGAUGCAGAAGAGAUCAUCCUUGAUGUGAAAUACAUGAAAGAUCCUUUCAAGAUAUUCCUGAAAUUAAAUCAAGCCAGCCAACAGUUGGAGAAGCAUUGCCAGGCGGGUGAACUAGAUCUUUCAUUACCUCUGAAGAUGCUGAGAAUUUGAACCACAAGACUGGCAAAGCUAGUGCACAGGUCUAAGGU